Molecule: ribosomal RNA, 315 nt
Filed under: uncultured eukaryote
Lineage: Eukaryota
Description: partial 18S ribosomal RNA
Rfam family: Eukaryotic small subunit ribosomal RNA
Source: RNAcentral
CCCUUAGAUGUUCUGGGCUGCACGCGCGCUACACUGACGCACGCAACAGGUGCCUGCUCCGAGAGGACUGGGUAAUCAUUUGAGUGUGCGUCGUGAUGGGGAUAGAAUAUUGUAAUUAUUACUCUUCAACGAGGAAUUCCUAGUAAGCGCCAGUCAGCAGCUUGCGCUGAUUACGUCCCUGCCCUUUGUACACACCGCCCGUCGCUCCUACCGAUGGGUGAUCCGGUGAAUGAUUCGGACUUCAGCGGCUCCCCUGGGGUGCGCCGGAGAAAGUUUUGUGAACCUUAUCACUUGGAGGAAGGAGGAGUCGUAACA